RNAcentral lists this long non-coding RNA (1249 nucleotides) under Olea europaea (common olive). RNAcentral's name for it is "long non-coding RNA (OEUR_LNC007876)". Lineage: Eukaryota; Viridiplantae; Streptophyta; Magnoliopsida; Lamiales; Oleaceae. The record is from RNAcentral.
CUGCCCUCCAAGCUUUUGUGAUGUACUAACAUUAUUAUUAAUGGCAAGCUCCUCUUCAUAAUGCGGCAAAUUUCUAACUCUGCUCAAGGUAUGGCUGCUUGAUUUAGUCCAAUCAAGAGUAGCAGCUUCCUUGUUAAGCUGUCCAGAGCAAACGUUAACUCAAAACAUAUUCGCCAAAUAUAUUCUAAGAAGAGGUGUCUCAGAGAAGAUGUACAUGUUCAGUCACAUCCUAUGUUGCUAUAACUCGGGCGCAGGUGUCUGAUACAUAUCUAGGAUUCAAAUCCUUUUUCUAAAACCUAGGAUAGUAGGAUAUGAGAACAUGGCUGAAAAGGAUCCAAUAUUUAGCCCUUGCAUGAUGGAGCUUUUUCGAAAAAUCACUUAUAUUUGGUUUGUGUAUGGGUCCGAACUUCUAUGACAGCUUGAUGCAUGUAAUUGACAAAUGUCACUGAAAUACCCAAAAAAUGUCCUGUUUUUGAGUCUUUUGGGGAAACCGUGAUGAUGACAAAUCCGUCUUCUAAUAAUUUAAAUCAAGGCUACCAAUGAGCCGUGUCACAGAGCGCUUCAGGGGUGGGUCAAUUGGCUGAAUUUUAAUUGACAAUUUGAAUGGUCAAACUAGCAAAUAAUCUGUUAUUUUAGCAAUUCAUACGGACUUUAACAAUGUGUAGAUACAUCUUACAAUUUCUAACUCUGCUCAAGGUAUGGCUGCUUGAUUUAGUCCAAUCAAGAGUAGCAGCUUCCUUGUUAAGCUGUCCAGAGCAAACGUUAACUCAAAACAUAUUCGCCAAAUAUAUUCUAAGAAGAGGUGUCUCAGAGAAGAUGUACAUGUUCAGUCACAUCCUAUGUUGCUAUAACUCGGGCGCAGGUGUCUGAUACAUAUCUAGGAUUCAAAUCCUUUUUCUAAAACCUAGGAUAGUAGGAUAUGAGAACAUGGCUGAAAAGGAUCCAAUAUUUAGCCCUUGCAUGAUGGAGCUUUUUCGAAAAAUCACUUAUAUUUGGUUUGUGUAUGGGUCCGAACUUCUAUGACAGCUUGAUGCAUGUAAUUGACAAAUGUCACUGAAAUACCCAAAAAAUGUCCUGUUUUUGAGUCUUUUGGGGAAACCGUGAUGAUGACAAAUCCGUCUUCUAAUAAUUUAAAUCAAGGCUACCAAUGAGCCGUGUCACAGAGCGCUUCAGGGGUGGGUCAAUUGGCUGAAUUUUAAUUGACAAUUUGAAUGGUCAAACUAGCAAAUAAUCUGUUAUUUUAGCAAUU